UACGUAGGGGGCAAGCGUUGUCCGGAAUCAUUGGGCGUAAAGCGCGUGUAGGCGGCUUGGUAAGUCUGCUCUGAAAGCCCGGGGCUCAACCCCGGGGGCGGAGUGGAUGACUGUCAAGCUCGAGUCCGGAAGAGGAGUGUGGAAUUCCUGGUGUAGCGGUGAAAUGCGCAGAUAUCAUGAGGAAGACCGGUGGCGAAGGCGGAUCUCUGGACAGUUCCUGACACUGAGGCACGAAGGCUAGGGGAGCAAACGGG
Molecule: ribosomal RNA, 254 nt
Filed under: uncultured bacterium
Lineage: Bacteria
Description: partial 16S ribosomal RNA
Rfam family: Bacterial small subunit ribosomal RNA
Source: RNAcentral